CAGGUGUUAGUCAAGCGGCCAAGACAUACCACUUUCAAUGGUAGAUCACGGGUUCAAAUCCCGUACACCUGACCA
This 75-nucleotide transfer RNA is filed under the name compost metagenome. Its description in RNAcentral is "tRNA-Glu". It matches the Rfam family "tRNA". Rfam says of the family: Transfer RNA (tRNA) molecules are approximately 80 nucleotides in length. Their secondary structure includes four short double-helical elements and three loops (D, anti-codon, and T loops). Further hydrogen bonds mediate the characteristic L-shaped molecular structure. tRNAs have two regions of fundamental functional importance: the anti-codon, which is responsible for specific mRNA codon recognition, and the 3' end, to which the tRNAs corresponding amino acid is attached (by aminoacyl-tRNA synthetases). tRNAs cope with the degeneracy of the genetic code in two manners: having more than one tRNA (with a specific anti-codon) for a particular amino acid; and 'wobble' base-pairing, i.e. permitting non-standard base-pairing at the 3rd anti-codon position. The record is from RNAcentral.